CACCUUUAUCCACCUUUGUCAUGGUAGGAAUAACACGUCAAUGUAAGGGUGGGGUCAUCUAAGAUAGCACAAGCGUUAUUCAUAGCAAAUCCAAAGAGUCAGUGUCUGAGGACUGUAACUUCCCCAGAAUGUCACUAGAGAUGACAACAGUUUCUCCUCCAAGGUUCUUUCAGCUGCGCUCCUCACGAGUCAUCACAGCAAAUCUUCCACCUCUGUCUAAUUCCACCCUUCGUCCCUCAACCCCCUUCAUGUCCAGUUCUACAUCAUCCAUGAUGACAGUCAACAAUGUCCCUCCUCUUAAUGGGUCCAAGCAUCUGCUUCCCUGCAUUUAUUUCUAAAACAUCCACCGUGAUCUGUUGCUCUGAUUGAUUCAUUCUGGAUUCUAUCCAUCCUCGUCCAAAGAGAGAACCUCAACAUCUUCACCUCUGUUACCUCCAGGCGUCUGCAGCCUUCAACGCUGAACACCCAUUCAGGCUGGUUUCUCAUCUUUUAUUGAUAUACUGUAUAUAGCUGAACUUUUGAUCAAUUAAAAAAUGGAAAAAUUGAGAAGAUAGCAUUUUAACCUAUGACUUUGGUUUUUACUCUUAAGAAAGACAUACACUUAAAUAGAAUACUUCAACCAAAAGUGUUAUGCAAUCAAAAUAGAGGUUUUUUUAAAAACAUUAUUUAUAGGUCUACUUUGGUUAGCCGCCCCUACUUCCCUCUAAAUAUGUAAAUAUUAAUUCAUUCGUUUUAGAUCCAGUGGAAAAGUAUAUGAAGUCCAUAUGAAUAGGACUUACAUCUAUUUCUCUUCUUCCUUCUUGACUGCAACUAAAUGUUAUUUUACAGCAUGAGAUAAUUUGAUUGAAAUACAUCCUAAUAAUAAGCAGAGCUUAAAGAAUUUCAAACUUCUCAACAAUAAUUUGCUCAACAUUUCAAAUGUAUGCAUUCUUGGAAAAAUACAAGCCCUUUUGAUUUGAUUGCAAUGUCAGCAGCAGUGACAAUUUAUUUUUACUAAGUUUAUUGCUGUUACAGAAGCAACUUAGCCAUAAAUUCAUAAAUCUAAUACACUAAAUUUAAAUCAGUGCUAUGAUUUUGUUUGUCUUCAGCCAGAGAGACACAACGGAGGAGUGAAAAACCCUACAUGUCGCUCUGGAGCCUCAGGUUGCAGGCUCCUGGUGUAACCCUUGUGCUCUCCUGGGUACUUUAACAAUGGGAGUUGGGUCAUCCACCACUCUCUGCUGCUCUGGACUGUUGACCGUGCUCCAAAUCUAGAAGCCCGUCUCUCUUUCUAUCACACUGUCUCUCAACUUUUCUUCUUCGAUCAUGUCAGCUGACUUUCCCUGUCACAGUCCCAGCAUUUGAAAUGCUCCUCCUGACACAUUGUUCAUGUCUGGUUGUCCCUGGCUGCUUCCUCCAGCUCCUCUGGGGUCCCUGGGCCAACUGAGGGAUGUCGUUUUUCCAGCGUGUCCUGGCUCUGCUCAAUGGGACAUGUCUGGAACACCUCCCCAGGGAGGCAUCCAGGAGGUGUCCAAACCAGAUGCCAGACGAAAGAUGCUAAUCUGAGUACACAGCGCCUCCUGUUGGUUGCCUGGUCAAACGAGAUGCAAUGACAGGGCUGGAUCCAGGUGGAGGCAGUAUGGUAUGGAGCCAAUCUGGCUACUGUUGGGAAAAGGUGGGGUACGCCCUGGAUAGGUCAAGGGUCAGUUGCAGGGUCACACACUCAUGUGCACAACUACAGGUAAUUUACAGAUACAAACUGUUCAUCUAUCACCA
Long non-coding RNA from Oryzias latipes (Japanese medaka), 1755 nucleotides. RefSeq lists it as uncharacterized. The record is from RefSeq and is a predicted model, not a curated record. Lineage: Eukaryota; Metazoa; Chordata; Actinopteri; Beloniformes; Adrianichthyidae.